This 305-nucleotide ribosomal RNA is filed under the name Escherichia coli. RNAcentral describes it as "partial 23S ribosomal RNA". It matches the Rfam family "Bacterial large subunit ribosomal RNA", at positions 2638 to 2925 of the family's 2925-position model. The record is from RNAcentral. Lineage: Bacteria; Pseudomonadati; Pseudomonadota; Gammaproteobacteria; Enterobacterales; Enterobacteriaceae.
CUAUCUGCCGUGGGCGCUGGAGAACUGAGGGGGGCUGCUCCUAGUACGAGAGGACCGGAGUGGACGCAUCACUGGUGUUCGGGUUGUCAUGCCAAUGGCACUGCCCGGUAGCUAAAUGCGGAAGAGAUAAGUGCUGAAAGCAUCUAAGCACGAAACUUGCCCCGAGAUGAGUUCUCCCUGACUCCUUGAGAGUCCUGAAGGAACGUUGAAGACGACGACGUUGAUAGGCCGGGUGUGUAAGCGCAGCGAUGCGUUGAGCUAACCGGUACUAAUGAACCGUGAGGCUUAACCUUACAACGCCGAAG